RNAcentral lists this unclassified non-coding RNA (229 nucleotides) under Hevea brasiliensis (rubber tree). Lineage: Eukaryota; Viridiplantae; Streptophyta; Magnoliopsida; Malpighiales; Euphorbiaceae. The record is from RNAcentral.
GUUUUAGCAACAAGAGUGUCUUGAGUUCAAGAAAUAAAUCUCUUUGUUUUCCUUCUGUUUGCUUUCUUAUGUAUUAAGUUAAUAAAUUAGAUAGAGCUUCCAUUGUGAUAUCUAUUCACAACAAUAAGAUACAAUUUUGCCGUGAAAUAGUUGAAAUUAGUUUGUUUUAUAUGUUGGGGUUCAUGUUCCGAUUCUAUCAUGUAAUUGCUUACAGGAAUGGGGAGAUCGC